GACGAACGCUGGCGGCGUGCCUAAUACAUGCAAGUUGAGCGAUGAAGAUUGGUGCUUGCACCAAUUUGAAGAGCAGCGAGCGGGUGAGUAACGCGUGGGGAAUCUGCCUUUGAGCGGGGGACAACAUUUGGAAACGAAUGCUAAUACCGCAUAACAACUUUAAACAUAAGUUUUAAGUUUGAAAGAUGCAAUUGCAUCACUCAAAGAUGAUCCCGCGUUGUAUUAGCUAGUUGGUGAGGUAAAGGCUCACCAAGGCGAUGAUACAUAGCCGACCUGAGAGGGUGAUCGGCCACAUUGGGACUGAGACACGGCCCAAACUCCUACGGGAGGCAGCAGUAGGGAAUCUUCGGCAAUAGACGAAAGACUGACCGAGCAACGCCGCGUGAGUGAAGAAGGUUUUCGGAUCGUAAAACUCUGUUGGUAGAGAAGAACGUUGGUGAGAGUGGAAAGCUCAUCAAGUGACGGUAACUACCCAGAAAGGGACGGCUAACUACGUG
RNAcentral lists this ribosomal RNA (497 nucleotides) under uncultured bacterium. RNAcentral describes it as "partial 16S ribosomal RNA". It matches the Rfam family "Bacterial small subunit ribosomal RNA", at positions 28 to 507 of the family's 1533-position model. The record is from RNAcentral.